RNAcentral lists this ribosomal RNA (484 nucleotides) under uncultured bacterium. RNAcentral describes it as "partial 16S ribosomal RNA". It matches the Rfam family "Bacterial small subunit ribosomal RNA", at positions 30 to 507 of the family's 1533-position model. The record is from RNAcentral.
AGUGAACGCUGGCGGCAGGCCUAACACAUGCAAGUCGAGCGGCAGCGGGUCCUUCGGGAUGCCGGCGAGCGGCGGACGGGUGAGGAAUACAUCGGAAUCUGCCCUGUCGUGGGGGAUAACCUAGGGAAACUUAGGCUAAUACCGCAUACGACCUACGGGUGAAAGCGGGGGAUCGCAAGACCUCGCGCGACAGGAUGAGCCGAUGUCCGAUUAGCUAGUUGGCGGGGUAAAGGCCCACCAAGGCGACGAUCGGUAGCUGGUCUGAGAGGAUGAUCAGCCACACGGGGACGGAGACACGGCCCAGACUCCUGCGGGAGGCAGCAGUGGGGAAUAUUGGACAAUGGGCGCAAGCCUGAUCCAGCCAUGCCGCGUGGGUGAAGAAGGCCUUCGGGUUGUAAAGCCCUUUUGUCCGGGAAGAAAUCGUCUGGGCUAAUACGCCGGGCGGAUGACGGUACCGGAAGAAUAAGCACCGGCUAACUUCGUG